This 918-nucleotide ribosomal RNA is filed under the name uncultured bacterium. RNAcentral's name for it is "bacterial SSU rRNA". It matches the Rfam family "Bacterial small subunit ribosomal RNA", at positions 516 to 1428 of the family's 1533-position model. The record is from RNAcentral.
CGCGGUAAUACAGAGGGUGCAAGCGUUGCUCGGAUUUACUGGGCGUAAAGCGUACGCAGACGGUGAGAAAGGUCGGAUGUGAAAGCCCCGGGCUCAACCCGGGAACUGCAUCCGAAACCAUCUCGCUCGAGUGUGGGAGAGGGAAGCGGAAUUCCUGGUGUAGAGGUGAAAUUCGUAGAUAUCAGGAGGAACACCGGCGGCGAAGGCGGCUUCCUGGCCCAUUACUGACGUUCAGGUACGAAAGCGUGGGUAGCAAACAGGAUUAGAUACCCUGGUAGUCCACGCCGUAAACGAUGUGUGCUGGAUGUCGGGGGUAUUCACCCCCUCGGUAUCGAAGCCAACGCGAUAAGCACACCGCCUGGGGAGUACGGCCGCAAGGUUGAAACUCAAAGGAAUUGACGGGGGCCCGCACAAGCGGUGGAGUAUGUGGUUUAAUUCGACGCAACGCGAAGAACCUUACCCAGCCUUGACAUGCUCGGAAUCCUGUGGAAACACGGGAGUGCCUUCGCAAGAAGGAGCCGGGACACAGGUGCUGCAUGGCUGUCGUCAGCUCGUGUCGUGAGAUGUUCGGUUAAGUCCGGCAACGAGCGCAACCCUUGCUUCCAGUUGCCAUCAUUCAGUUGGGAACUCUGGAGGGACUGCCGGCGCCAAGCCGGAGGAAGGUGGGGACGACGUCAAGUCAUCAUGGCCUUUAUGGCUGGGGCUACACACGUACUACAAUGGCGUCUACAAAGGGCUGCGAAACGGCGACGUGGAGCAAAUCUCAAAAAAGACGCCUCAGUUCGGAUUGGAGUCUGCAACUCGACUCCAUGAAGUUGGAAUCGCUAGUAAUCGCAGAUCAGCACGCUGCGGUGAAUACGUUCCCGGGCCUUGUACACACCGCCCGUCACACCACGAAAGUUGGAUGGACCUGAAGUC